UACGUAGGUGGCAAGCGUUGUCCGGAUUUAUUGGGUUUAAAGGGUGCGUAGGCGGUUUUGUAAGUCAGUGGUGAAAUACUCUAGCUUAACUAGAGGGGUGCCAAUGAUACUGCGGAACUUGAGUACAGAUGAGGUAGGCGGAAUUGACGGUGUAGCGGUGAAAUGCAUAGAUAUCGUCAAGAACACCGAUAGCGAAGGCAGCUUACUGGGCUGUAACUGACGCUGAGGCACGAAAGUGUGGGGAUCAAACAGG
Molecule: ribosomal RNA, 253 nt
Filed under: uncultured bacterium
Lineage: Bacteria
Description: partial 16S ribosomal RNA
Rfam family: Bacterial small subunit ribosomal RNA
Source: RNAcentral